AUCGCCACGGCCCCGCCCCCGCGGCUCCUGCACCACGUGGUGGGGGGGGGAGGGGAAACAAUGACAGCAGCUGCAGAUGCUGCAAACCUGAGAUAAAACCUCAAGGGGGCAAGACUACAAAAUGCUGCAGUAACUCAGCGGGACGGGCAGCAUCUCUGGAGAGAAGGAAUGGGCGACGUGUCGAGGUUGAGACCCUUCCUCUGAGAGUCGCAGGAGAGAUGUAGACGACUGCCCGUUAUAGGGAGGCUGCACGGCAGUCAGGUCACGACCCCUGAACCGGUGCUGUUGCCACGCUACGCCAACUGGAGUACACGUGAUGAACUGCAGUUUCAGAUGUCGACAGUGGGUCCAGAAUACUCGUCAACAAGAUCUCCUUCACCGAACUCCGGUGUACUUGUCAAACAACUGCUGUCUUUGUUCUGAACACUUUGAACUUGACCAGUUUUCCAACAAGCAGACCAAGAACAGGCUAUCACUGUUUGAAAUAUGUUGCAUUUUACAUCACUUUCAUUGGUUAGCUGAUAUGCGAAACACUGCAACCCUGUAUAUCUCGCACACAAAAUGAUGUAAAUUAUGUAAACAUUACCAUGAAUAACAGAAAUAAAAAGUGUUAUCCUUGUUUAUGAAGUUCAAUUUAGA
Molecule: long non-coding RNA, 639 nt
Organism: Leucoraja erinaceus (little skate)
Lineage: Eukaryota; Metazoa; Chordata; Chondrichthyes; Rajiformes; Rajidae
Exons: 3
Source: RefSeq, a predicted model, not a curated record